GUUCUUUAGUAGAAGGAUAACAUGACAUAGCAGGAAUAAUACUGCCUUUUCUUUCUGGCAUGGAUCAAGAGAAAAGAAAAUACAAGAAAACAGACAGAAGCAAGGCAAGGUACUUCUAUGGAAGGGUGAGCCCUCACAGAUGGAGCAAUGGGGCGCGCACACCUGAACAAGGGAGGGGAAGGAGUUCUUAUCCCUGAUGCAUGUGACCCCUGCUGCUGUGUCCUUCCCCUAUUGGCUAAGGUUAGACCACACAGCCUAAACUAAUUCCGAUUGGCUAAUUCAAAGAGAGCGACGGGGGCUUCUGACAGCUUUGGAGAUUGUGACAUUGGAAUAAAGGAAAAACGUACAGGACUCAUGAAGCGCUGAAAUGUUCACAAAUAUCAAGCAAAAGUCAAUGAAAUUUAUUUUGAGCUAUUUACAUCAUUUAAUAAUUGAGCAAGGUAUACUCCUAUGAACAAAAUUUGGAGCAUGUUUGUCUCUCUCUGCCUGGCGUCUUCAGAAUUUGGAAACUAGUUAUGGUUUAUAAUCAGCUAUAGAAUUUUAACACGUGCUCUCAAAUGCAAGUUUCUGAUAACUUUGGAGAUUGUGACAUUGGAAUAAAGGAAGAGCUGGAAUGUUCAUGAAUAUCAAGCAAAAGUCAUGGAAAUUUAUUUUGAGCUAUUUACAGCAUUUAAUAAUUGAGCAAGGUAUACUCCUAUGAACAAAAUUUGGAGCAUGUUUGUCUCUCUCUGUCUGCCUGGCAUCUACAGAAUUUGGAAACUAGUUUCGUUCCCAGAUUUCCUAAACUUUCCAGAGAAAAUGGUCUUCUCCCUGGCUCAGCAAGAAGAUGAACUUUAAACACUGAGAAACUGGUCAUCUCCCUGGCUCAACCAGAAGAUGAACUUUAAACACUACUCUCAAUGACUUGAUGUUCCCAUCACUACUCCUGUCAUAAAGGGAGGGGACUCAGAUAUUGAGAAUUUUAUGAUAGUGUGAACUGUCUGCUGUCAGCCAGGAGGGCAGAGCUGAAAUUUAUUGCCACAUCACAUGAAGCAUAGAACAGACUCCACUACUCCUUGAGAUUCAAAACUUUGCCUCUCACAAAGUUACCUUUUAUUUUCCUCUUGUUUGUCACUCAUCUCCCCUAGUGUGCUCUUUUUAUUUCUUUUACUAUUAAUAAUAAAAUCUGUGGAUGACUGUA
Molecule: long non-coding RNA, 1180 nt
Filed under: Homo sapiens (human)
Lineage: Eukaryota; Metazoa; Chordata; Mammalia; Primates; Hominidae
Description: long intergenic non-protein coding RNA 320
Source: RNAcentral